This 1127-nucleotide ribosomal RNA is filed under the name Salmonella enterica subsp. enterica serovar Enteritidis. Its description in RNAcentral is "partial 23S ribosomal RNA". It matches the Rfam family "Bacterial large subunit ribosomal RNA", at positions 21 to 1190 of the family's 2925-position model. The record is from RNAcentral. Lineage: Bacteria; Pseudomonadati; Pseudomonadota; Gammaproteobacteria; Enterobacterales; Enterobacteriaceae.
ACGGUGGAUGCCCUGGCAGUCAGAGGCGAUGAAGGGCGUGCUAAUCUGCGAUAAGCGCCGGUAAGGUGAUAUGAACCGUUAUAACCGGCGAUACCCGAAUGGGGAAACCCAGUGUGACUCGUCACACUAUCAUUAACUGAAUCCAUAGGUUAAUGAGGCGAACCGGGGGAACUGAAACAUCUAAGUACCCCGAGGAAAAGAAAUCAACCGAGAUUCCCCCAGUAGCGGCGAGCGAACGGGGAGGAGCCCAGAGCCUGAAUCAGCAUGUGUGUUAGUGGAAGCGUCUGGAAAGGCGCGCGAUACAGGGUGACAGCCCCGUACACAAAAGCGCAUGUGCUGUGAGCUCGAUGAGUAGGGCGGGACACGUGGUAUCCUGUCUGAAUAUGGGGGGACCAUCCUCCAAGGCUAAAUACUCCUGACUGACCGAUAGUGAACCAGUACCGUGAGGGAAAGGCGAAAAGAACCCCGGCGAGGGGAGUGAAAAAGAACCUGAAACCGUGUACGUACAAGCAGUGGGAGCACCCUUUGGGUGUGACUGCGUACCUUUUGUAUAAUGGGUCAGCGACUUAUAUUCUGUAGCAAGGUUAACCGAAUAGGGGAGCCGGAGGGAAACCGAGUCUUAAUUGGGCGUUAAGUUGCAGGGUAUAGACCCGAAACCCGGUGAUCUAGCCAUGGGCAGGUUGAAGGUUGGGUAACACUAACUGGAGGACCGAACCGACUAAUGUUGAAAAAUUAGCGGAUGACCUGUGGCUGGGGGUGAAAGGCCAAUCAAACCGGGAGAUAGCUGGUUCUCCCCGAAAGCUAUUUAGGUAGCGCCUCGUGAAUUCAUCUCCGGGGGUAGAGCACUGUUUCGGCUAGGGGGCCAUCCCGGCUUACCAACCCGAUGCAAACUGCGAAUACCGGAGAAUGUUAUCACGGGAGACACACGGCGGGUGCUAACGUCCGUCGUGAAGAGGGAAACAACCCAGACCGCCAGCUAAGGUCCCAAAGUCAUGGUUAAGUGGGAAACGAUGUGGGAAGGCCCAGACAGCCAGGAUGUUGGCUUAGAAGCAGCCAUCAUUUAAAGAAAGCGUAAUAGCUCACUGGUCGAGUCGGCCUGCGCGGAAGAUGUAACGGGGCUAAACCAU